This 73-nucleotide transfer RNA is filed under the name Acidimicrobiales bacterium. RNAcentral's name for it is "tRNA-Leu". It matches the Rfam family "tRNA". From Rfam's summary of the family: Transfer RNA (tRNA) molecules are approximately 80 nucleotides in length. Their secondary structure includes four short double-helical elements and three loops (D, anti-codon, and T loops). The record is from RNAcentral. Lineage: Bacteria; Bacillati; Actinomycetota; Acidimicrobiia; Acidimicrobiales. RNAcentral also lists the same sequence under 1 other name.
GCGGGCGUAGCCCAACGGCAGAGGCACGGCUCUCAAACAGCCGCAAGUGUGGGUUCGAAUCCCACCGCCCGCA